Long non-coding RNA from Oreochromis niloticus (Nile tilapia), 2054 nucleotides. The record is from Ensembl. NCBI's taxonomy places the organism in Eukaryota, Metazoa, Chordata, Actinopteri, Cichliformes, Cichlidae.
AAAUGUGUAAGUGAAUACAGGGUGGUAAAAAGAAAACUCACACUCUUCCAGUUCUAAGGUUUUAUAUAUCAGGGCAUUAUACCCUUACUGCAUAGGAAAUAAGAGGAUAAAUACCAGCCAGCUGUUGUUAACCAAAUGCAUUUGUUUAAAUAUUCAUUAGCAAGUGUGACAACCUUUGUAAACUGACAUUUUCAGGUCUGGAGCAUCCAGGUGUGUGUUAACACACUGCCAAGGAGGAAGGACAUCAGCAAUGAUCUUAAAGAAGGAAUUGCUGCUUUGCAUCAGUCUUGGAGAAGUUAUAAGAUCUUUUCCACAUAAUUUGAAGGCCAUCAUUCUACUCUGAGAAAGACAAUUCACAAGUGGAACACAUUCAAGACAGUUACAAAUAUUCCCAAGAUGAGAAACUUCAAGAAAAUGUGGACUGAAUGCAUCAUGGAUGGGAUAUUGAGUCGGAGCUAGAUCCAGACUGGAUGGCCUUCAGGACUGAGAAGAAGAGCUGCAGUGUGGAUGAAUUAGAUACAGAGGUCCAGAUUGCUGCUUCAGCAUGUUGAUGUCAUCUGUUACUGGCUGCUCGAGAAUCUCAAUUCACUGUGUGCUCAGCAGAGGAAAUGUUCAGGAGAGUCGUUGCAUGUAAGUCACAACAGGAAAGAAAAUGUUCUCUGUGAUUUGUUUCCCCAAAUAUACAAUACAUUUUAGUUUUAGUUGUAUUAUUUUUUAUUAAAUAUUGUUUUUUUAAUAGGAGACAGGUAAGUAUAUAGUAUAUAUUAAGUACUACAUUUAUGUACACAUUUACAGCAUUCAGUAUUGUGUAAACAUUGUGAACCACUCUUUCUUUAUAUUUUGUUGGGAAAAAAUUGAUUUAUCCUCAACUGAUGGUGUUCUAUUGGGUAUUUAUCUAUGCAGGCAUGCUUUUACUAUAUUGGGAGUAAAAUCAUUGUCGUGCUGAAAAUUGAAGCGGUUGCAAAUUGGACACUUUCUGCAGUGGACAAAAAUCUGAAGGCACCUUUCUACUUUCUUCAUUUGGGGUUCACUAAUGUUUCACUAAUGUUUUACAGAUGCUGUAAACACUCAAGGAUCACUCAAGAUGCUCUCCUGCCCCUACAGUCUCUAAUGAAUAUUGCAGUUUGUCUGCUAGCAAAUGCUACAAGAAGCCCAAGAAUCAAGAAUCAGAAAUCACUGACAAGAAAAAUAUGUGUGCACUCAGUCCACUAGUGUCCAGUCAGAGAAAAGUAUAUAAGGUCAAUGUUUAUAUAGAACCGAGCUACAGGCCAUAAUCAGAUUCCUGCUCCUCCUUAAUGAGCUGUUUAAGACUGCCGUUUGUUAGAAUUGUACAAAUUCUAUUUUUUGCCUUAUGCACAGUAUUUCCAUGUAUGUUUACAUGUUUUUCAAUAAAUCACUGCAUCCAUUUCUCAUAUAAACAAAUGAGUGGUGACUUAAGAUGUUUUCAAAGUACAGUAUGAAACGAAUAAAACAGAUGAAGGUUAAAUCAAGUCAAACUAGUUGUCCCAGUGGCGAAAAACCACAGCCCUGUUUCAGUUGUGGCCACACUGCCCCCAGAACUGUCAAAACAUUUGGAAAGGAAGGCACAGGUGUUAUAAGAUUGAUAAAAAGCUACCCUCUUUUUUCCUGUAUCAUAAUCUUUGUUUGACUUAAAAUUAAUUAUUUUAACAACAGUCAAUUUUAAUAUCUUUGAAAAACGCUUACAAGUGACUUUGAAAGUAAAUCUUAAGAGAGCAAUGACAAGACUCCAAUUUUCUCUGUGGGCCAGCGAGGUGAUGUGGGAGGGAUUUAUAGAGCAGGUGAGAUUAGCUGUGAGGGGGGAACCGUUAGAGAGACAGGAGCUUAAGCGGAUGACUCAGUGGCAAAUGAUGUGUGUGAGAGUGGUUACUGGGAGUGGAAGAGAAAGAGACUGGCUAUCAGUAGUGGAUUUCCUUUGUUCAUGGGUGUGUGAAACCAACUACAUGUGUUGGCACUCCUGUGAGUGUUGUUCUUAAACUCUACUUCUCCGUCGUCUUCUUCUCUAUUGUGUUAUCCCUUCAUAUGAAAUAUUCACU